UGGAAUCACAUCACUCAUGUCAUAUAUGACGAAUAUAUGUCUGGAACUCUGAGGUCCAA
This 59-nucleotide small nucleolar RNA is filed under the name Rhinopithecus bieti (black snub-nosed monkey). RNAcentral describes it as "Small nucleolar RNA SNORD113/SNORD114 family (ENSRBIG00000009154.1)". Lineage: Eukaryota; Metazoa; Chordata; Mammalia; Primates; Cercopithecidae. The record is from RNAcentral.